Molecule: ribosomal RNA, 265 nt
Filed under: uncultured prokaryote
Description: partial 16S ribosomal RNA
Rfam family: Bacterial small subunit ribosomal RNA
Source: RNAcentral
UACGGGGGAUCCUAGUGUUAUCCGGAUUUAUUGGGUUUAAAGGGAGCGUAGGCGGGAGGUCAAGUCAGCUGUGAAAUGUAUCUGCUUAACGGGUACACUGCAGUUGAAACUGGUUUUCUUGAGUGCGUAAGAGGCAGGCGGAAUUCGUCGUGUAGCGGUGAAAUGCUUAGAUAUGACGAGGAACUCCUAUUGCGAAGGCAGCUUGCUGGGUCGUUACUGACGCUGAUGCUCGAAGGUGCGGGGAUCAAACAGGAUUAGAUACCCU